ACCCCGGGACCGGCUCUUAAAGGGACCACGCGGCGUCCGGGACCCCGCCUCCAGGAAGCCCUCCCGGCCCCGGGCCCCGCGUCACCCAGGCCCCCCGUCACCCGGGCCCCCGGCCGCGUCGCACAGACCCCGGACGGUCCAGCUGAGCGGCUCCGGGCGCGAAGUCCUCCCCCCGACCCGGACAGGCGCCGGCGCCGCUCCCCCCUUCUCCUGGCCUUUGUUGGCGCUGGGCCGCCGCCGGGGAGCCCUCCCCAGACCCAGGCGCGGCGUUUUACCUGCAGCGGCUGUGCUCGCCCCGCCGCGACCCCCGCAGGACGGAGCCGGAUCCCCCUGCACUCGGGCGGACCUGGGACCCUCAGAGGCGAGCCGGCUGCCUCGGGUCACACAUCCGCGAACUCCGGGGGCGGGCUCCCCAGGACGCCGCCGACCCCCCACGACCCCCAGCCCUCCCGCUUCCGUGGAAAGCCGCCCCGACGACCCCUGUGCGGGCUGUUGAGGGGCCGCACCCCGCCGACCGCUGUGGGAACACCUCCGCGCGUGCGGCGGGGACGCGGCGAGUCCGGGGCAGGAAGAACGCACGGGUAAUUGCACCUUCGGCAGGUGUUGGGCGGGAGCAAGGGGGUCAGACUCGCGCUGCAGGGGGAGGGCGGGGGAGGCCUCGCUGUCCUGGAGGAAGGGGACAAAGACCCCUGCCCAGGAGCCUGGGAGCCUUUGAAAGUAAUGAUUUUUUGGCGGGGGGGGGUUGUCACGAGACACCCUAGACAUUUCUAAAAGGCCCCCUCCCCGCUGCCGGGUGGAGAGGGAGCGUGGGGGGAUCCGCCUUCUGCCCCCGAGCCCCCAGCCAGCCUGGGCCCCCCAGGGUCACCCUGGGGCUCUGAAGGGGGCUUCGGCCGCUGGUUGAAUGAAGGGCCACAGAAAAUGAAGCUGGCGCAACGACCGCAGAACCCUCAGUGGGCACCAGGACCACGGAGCUCAGGGUGCCAAUGGUGAUGGCUGGGGGUGGGGAGUACUGUGGGCAGCAGGGGAUGCUGAGCGGGGUUUGGGGCUCCCCCUUUCCAUACUCAGUCUUCCUGCCAGCCUCAGAGCUGAGUACACCGUUGGCGAUUAAUAAGCGCUUGCAGCUCCCUUCCCUGGCCAGCCUGAGGGGAGCGGCAGUGGCCCGUAUGGGGUGGGGGUGGCGGUGGAGUGCGUCCUGGCGCAGAGCUGGCACACAGCACAAACAAACGCCUUGGCGGGAGUGGGUCUGUCCCGGAAGGGAGCCCAGGGGUUAUUGGGGUUGGGGCUGCGCCCCAAAGCGGGAGGGCCCUGCGAGAAGGGAGGCCCUGGCUGGAGGGGGACCCUGAGACUGGAGGUGCCGGACCCGGAUGCGGGGCCAGGUGAGUAGGGCUGCCUGCUGCAGCCUUGCUGGGUUUGAAAAGUGGGGGAGGCUUGGCCCUGGGAGGGGGCAGGAGGAUUCAGGCUGAGACCCGGAGGGGGCGAAGGAGGUCCUUGAGGAGGCAGUCACAGGCCUGAAAGGACCUGGGACCCGCAGGCAUGGGAGCUGUUAGCCGUUAGAUAGAGGGGCUGUCGCCUGGGGGGAAGCCUCACCUGGCUUGUUCCCCCUGCCAGGCCUAGGUGAGCCCGAUGGGCGUGUCUUCUGCCCAGCUGGGAUGUGGCCAGCAUCUGCCUGUGGCCUGGGAGUGCCCAUUGUCCCCUAAGAGCUCUGGUUAUACCCUGGGCAGCUACUGGCCAGGCUGGAGCAGGUGGCAGGCAGCGACCUUUAGUCCCUCCUGGAGGCUCCCAGGGGGCGGUUUGGAGGGGAAUACGGCUCCCCUGGAGGGCCUGGGCUGUCCCUGGGGGGCAGAGUGCCCUGGGCGGCGAUUGUUAUAAUCCCCGUAGCCAUUUUCAUGCAAAUAAGCACUGAGAGCGUUAGGUUCUGCCCCUAACCAGGCUGGCGGACUAGGGAGGUGGCACCCUGGGGAGGACGGUGGUUUUUCUGCAGCCCCGCCUUAGUUCCACGUUGCCUUUGCACCCAGCAGAGGCCGGCCUGGGCGGUGGGCUCAGGGGCCUGGGUGCCCGACCAGGUCGGCUCGGCUCAGCUCAGCUCGGCGGCCGCACCGCCUCCCGGCACAGGUGUGGACGGGGGUGGGAGGCGCGACCAGGGAGGGGGCUGCGGUGUCAGUCCCGGCCCGGGCCUGUAGACGCCGCCUCGGGGGUCUCUGGGGCUCGGGAGGACCUUGCGAGGGGCCGGGGAGGCGCCAAGGCCGCGGCGAGGGACGUGCGGGGGUCCAGCAGCCUGGGGCGGGGACGCGCGCUCCGGGCCGUGCAGGUGGGGGUCCGAGCGGGGCCGGCCCGGCGGUUCGCGCGCGCCCUCUGCCGUCCGCAGGCCGUGGCGCAGGCUCGGCCGCCUGAAGCUCCUCUCGCCUCCGGGAGGACGUCCAAGGUCGUUUCUUAAAGCAUCCCUAUUGCGCAGAAGGAACAGUGGGGUUCACUUUUCUCGCUAAUGUGCAUAUAAUCGUUGCAACUAAUUAUGUGUAGCAAACCUCCAUGCCACUAUUUCCCCAACUUUUUUAAGUCAAGGCAUAGCUAACUCAAUACAAUGCCCAUCCCAGCUGUUCAAGUAGACUUUUUCUCCCGUUAUUUCUUUAAAAACCGUAUGAUUUUUUCUUGUGGUAAAAUGCAUGCAGGAACAUACGGUGUGCCAUAUUAACUAUUUUUAAGUGAAUUUGGCAGCAUUAAGUACAUUCACUUUCUGUGUAACCGUCACCACCACCCAUCUCUGGAGCUUUUCGUCUUGGAAAACUGGAACUCUACUCUGUCCUCAUUAGACACCAACUUCCCAACCCCCUCCCCAGCCCUUGGCACCCAUUAUUCAAGUAGAUUUUUUUUUUUUUUUGACGGAGUCUCAUUCUUGUCGCCCAGGCUGGAGUGGAGUGGUACGAUCUCAGCUCACUGCAACCUCCAUCUCCUGGGUUCAAGCGAUUCUCCUGCCUCAGCCUCCCAAGUAGCUGGGAUUACAGGCGGCCACUACCAUGCCCAGCUAAUUUUGUGUGUUUAGUAGAGAUGGGGUUUCACCAUGUUGGCCAGGAUGGUCUCGAACUCCUGACCUCAGGUGAUCCUCCCGUCUUGGCCUCCCAAAGUGCUGGGAUUACAGGCGUGAGCCACUGCACCCAGCCAGUAGAUGGGUUUUGACAACUGUAUAUGUAGUUUUAUCACCAUCAAAAUGAGACCUAGAAACUUUAUUAUCCCAGAAGUUCCCUGGUGCCCUGUCCUCACCCUCUGACCUGUCACCGUGAGUUACUGCUAUCUGUUCGUACACUUUAUAAAAAUGGAAACAAUGGAAACAAACAAUGAGAGGACUUUUGCCCCUGGCAUCUUUCACUCAAGGAAAUACUUUUUUUUUUUUCCAGACAGAGUCUCUUUGUUCCCCCAGGUUGGAGUGGAGUGGCGCGAUCUCAGCUCGCUGCAACCUCCGACUCCCGGUUUCAAGCGAUUCGCCAGCCUCAGCCUCCUGAGUAGCUGGGAUUACAGGCGCCCGCCACCACGCCCAUCUAAAUUUUGUAUUUUUUAGUAGAGAUUGGGUUUCACCACGUUGGCCAGGCUCGUCUCGAACUCCUGACCUCAGGUGAUCUGCCCACCUUGGCCUCCCAAAGUGCUGGGAUUACAGGCGUGAACCACCUUGCUUGGCCUUAAGGAAAUACUUUUGAGAUUCGUCCACAUUGCUGCUUUCCCACAACCUGAUGAUAACGUCUGUGUGGUUCUGUAUUUCAUGGGUGUAUGGCAAGAGUGGAACCAAUUCUUUAUUUUUUACAUAUUAGAUUAUUUUCAUAUUUGGGCUAUAAAAAACUGCAGCAGGCCGGGCACGGUGGCUCAUGCCUGUAAUCCCAGCACUUUGGGAGGCCGAGGCGGGUGGAUCAUGAGGUCAGGAGAUCGUGACCAUCCUGGCUAAUGUGAUGAAACUCUGUCUCUACUAAAAAUCCAAAAAAUUAGCUGGGCGUGGUGGCGGGCGCCUGUAGUCCCAGCUACUUGGGAAGCUGAGGCAGGAGAAUUGCUUGAACCCGGGAGGCGGAACUUGCAGUGAGCCGAGAUCGCACCACUGCACUCCAGCCUGGGUGACAGAGCGAGACUCCAUCUCAAACAAAAAACAAAAAAGAAAACAAACAAAAAAACUGCAGCAGACAGCAUCCUAUUGUAUAUGCUUAAAAAAAGAGAUAUGGGAUCCCUCUAUUUUAUCCAGGCUGGACUGAACUCUUCCUGGGCCCAAGUGAUCCUCCUGCUUCAGGCUUCCCGUAGCUGAGAUUAUAGGCACGUGCCACCACACCCAACUCUUACAUGUUUGUAACACACUUCUCAGAUUAUUUUUCUUUCUUCCCUCUCUCUCUUUCUCCAUUUCCUUCAUUCCUUCCUUCUGUCCUUCUGUCCUUCCUGUCUUCCUUUUCUUUCUUGACAGGAUCUCACUCUGUCACCCAGGCCAGAGGGCACUGGUGGAAAUAUAGCUCACAGCAGUCUCAACCUCCUGAGCUCAAGGGAUCCUCCCAUCACAGCCUCCUGAGUAGCUGGCACUACAGGCAUGUGCCAGCAUCUCCAGCUAAUUAAAAAAAUUUUUUUUGGCCAGGUGUGGUGGUGCGUGCCUGUAAUCCUAGCUACUCGGGAGGCUGAGACACCAGAAUCGCUUGAACCCAGGAUGCGGAGCUUGCAGUGAGCCAAGAUCGUGGCACUGUACUCCAGCCUGGGCAACGGAAUGAAACUCCAUCUCAGAAAAAAAAAAUUUUUUUUGUAGAGAUGAAGUCUCACUAUGUUACCGAGGCUGGUCGCAAAUUCCUGGGCUCAAGCAAUCCUCCUCUCUUGGCCUUCAGCCUUCCAAAAUGCUGGGAUUACAGGAUUAUUUUCUUUCCUAGUUUUUUUUUUUUUUUUUUUGGAUGGCAUCUCGCUCUGUUGCCCAGGCUGGAGUACACUGGUGCGAUCUCAGCUCACUGCAACCUCCACCUCCUGGGUUCAAGCGAUUCUCCUGCCUCAGCCUCCUGAGUAGCUGGGAUUACAGGCGCCUGCCAUCAUGCCCUGCUAAUUUUUGUAGUUUUAGUAGAGACAGGGUUUCACCAUGUUGGCCAGGCUGGUCUCGAACUCCUGACCUCAGGUGAUCUGCCCGCCUCGGUCUCCCAAAGUGCUGGGAUGACAGGCGUGAGCCACAGCGCCCCCUGCCCCCAACUCCCAUGUCCCCAGAUAUUGCAAAGUUGCCCUGAGUGGAGAAUUCUAAUAACUUGCCAGCAGGCUAGAAGAACUCCAUUUAAAACCCUUGCCAGGGCUGGGCAUGGUGGCUAACACCUGUAAUCCCAGCACUUUGGGAGGUUGAGGUGGGCGGAUCACCUGAGGUCAGGAGCUUGAGACCAGCGUGGCCAACAUGGUGAAACCCCAUCUCUACUAAAAAAUACAAAAAUUAGCCGGGUGUGGUGGUGGGCACCUGUAAUCCCAGCUGCUUAGGAGGCUGAAGCAGGAGAAUCCCUUGAACCCGGGAGGUGGAGGUUGCGGUGAGCUGUGAUUGUGCCAUUGCACUCUAGCUUGGGCAACAAGGGCAAAACUCUGUCUCAAAAUAAAAUAAAAUAAAACCCUUGCCAACACUUGGGAUUUUAUGCAUUUUGAUUAUAGCUGCAUUACUUGAUGGGUUGACUAGGAGGACACUGGAGUGUCUUCUCACACAGACUCCAUAUUUAGUUUGAAGACGUCCUUCUAUAUUGCCUUAUAAUCUUCCCCAGGGAGGCCUUACAGUCUUCCCAUUGCGUAUAUUACUCCUGAGCUUAUGAUUUCGGUUGCUUUGUGAAAGGUUAUAAAAACCACAAUUUCUGAUGUGUUGUUGCCUGUCAUGGGCUGGCUGUCGAUCACCCUCUCUGACUUCUCUUACUCCUCCAAGCAGGCCGCCUGUAGGUUCACUUGGAUUUCCCAGGUAGAUGGCCCUAUCAUCUAUGAAUCUGCACUUUCGUUUCUUUCCAAACCUCACAUUGCUUGUUUCUUGUCAUAUUGCAUGGGCUGGCAUCACCAUUAUAAUGCUAAGUGGACAUGGUGAUGGUGGGAGUCUUAGCUUCCAUUCCCCAGAAAGUAGCCAGAUGCAAAGCUCAGUGUACACAUUUUCUGGAAGGGAGGAACACACCGAGCCAGGGAGGAGGUGAAGCUGAGGCAAGGCUGCUUCUUACUCAGCUGCUGUGGCUUUUUGGAAGUUGCAGCUCAGCUGGCCACGUCUGCACACCCUCUCCCACGAGACCAUACAGCGAUGCUCCACCUCAGAAUGGUCCACAGGGAGGAGGAAGGGAGAAUAGUUUCUCUGCAAGCUCCUUCCUGUCUUCUGCUCUCAUAGGUCAGAGUUGCUCUCCCGAGGAAUUAAGUUCCCUGCAUCUUCAGGUGGUGUUACUGGCCCCUCUUGGCAGCUGCUGGGCAGGCCAGAGUGUCUGAGGGUUUGGGGAAGCUGGCACAUUGUGUGGAGUGAGAGAGAGGUUCAUUAAAAUUCCCAAUUAUUCCUAUACAUUCCCAAUUAUAGUCCCAAUUGUAUUUGUGGAUUUAUCUAUUUCUUAUUUUAGUUUUGUCAAUGUUUGCUUUAUAUGUUUUAAAGCUCAGUUAUUUGGCACAUAGAAGUUUAGGAUUGUUUUCUGUUUGGUUGCAUGAACUCUCCUAUCAUCAUGAAAUGUUAUCUCUUCUAAUAAUGGUUUUGUUUCAAAGUCCACAUUGUCUGAUCUUACUAUCAUUAUACUAGGUUUUUGAAAACAUUAAUGUUUGCCUAAUAUAUCUUUUUUUUUAUUCUUUUGCUUUCUAUCUUCCUGGAUCUUGAUAUUUAGGGUUUGUUUUUUCUAAACAACAUGCAUCUUAUUUAACUUCUCUCUGUUUUUUUUUCUUUCCUUUUUUUUUUGAGACAGAGUCUCACUCCGUCACCCAGGCUGGAGUGCAAUGGUGCAAUCUCGAGUCACUGCAGCCUCUGCCUCCCAGAUUCAAGCGAUUCUUGUGCCUCAGCCUCCCAAGUAGCUGGAAUUAUAGGCACGGGCCACCACACCUGGCUAAUUUUUUGUACUUUUAGUAGAGACGAGGUUUCACCAUGUUGGCCAGGCUGGUCUCAAACUCCUGACCUCAAGUGAUCAGCCUGCCUUGGCCUCCCAAAGAGCUGGGAUUACAGGCAUGAGCCACCGUACCUGGCCUAAUUUCUGUCUUCUGUUAGCUUCCGGGUUAUGUAUUCAUUAUCCUUUAAUGGCUACCUUAGAGAUGGUUAUAUUUAUUUAUUUAUUUUUUUGAGAUGGGGUCUCACUCUGUUAUCCAAGCUGGAGUGCAGUGGCAUAAUCAUGGCUCACUGCAGACUUGACCUCCCAGGCUCAGGUGAUUCUCCCACCUCAGCCUCCUGAGUAGCUAGGACUAUAGGCACCUGCCAACACACCCGGCUAAUUUGUGUAUUUUUGGUAGAGAUGGAGUUUUGCCAUGUUGCCCAGGCUGGUUUUGAAUUCCUGGUCUUGAGCAAUCCAUCUGCCUUGGCUUCCCGAAGUGCUGGGACUACAGGCGUGAGCUUCUGCACCCAUCCAGAGAUUAUGAUAACAUAUUAUCAGUUAAUAAUCUCGUGUCUUCAUAAACAAGGCAAGAACCUUACAACUAUUUAAUUCUGUUUAUCCCUCUCCUGACUUCUGUGCUGUUGUCAUAUAUUUUACUUCCACAAAGUUUAAAAAUUUUAUAGGACAUUGAAUAUUGUUUUAUUUAUUUAUUUAGAGACGGAGUCUUGCUCUGUUGCCCAGGCUGGAGUGCAAUGGUGCAAUCUUGGCUCACUACAACCUCUGCCUCCCAGGUUCAAGCAAUUCUCUUGUCUCAGCCUCCGAAGUAGCUGGGAUUACAGGUGCCCACCACCAUGCCCAGCUACUUUUUUUUUUGUUUUUUUUUUGAGAUAGAGUCUUGCUCUUGUUGCCCAGGCUGGAGUGCAGUGGUGCGAUCUCGGCGCACUGCAACCUCCACAUCCCGGGUUCAAGCGAUUCUCCUGCUUCACCCUCCUGAGUAGCUGGGACUACAGGCGCAUGCCACUACACCCGGCUAAUAUUUUGUAUUUUUAGUUGAGACAGGAUUUUACCAUGUUGGCCAGGCUGGUCUCGAUUUCCUGACCUGUGAUCUGCCUGCCUCGGCCUCCCAAAGUGCUGAGAUUACAGGCGUGAGCCACUGUGCCCAGCCCUUGGCUACUUUUUAUAUUUUUAGUACAGACAGGGUUUCAUCAUGUCGGCCAGUCUGGUCUUGAACUCCUGACCUUGUGAUACACUCACCUCGGCCUCGCAAAGUGCUGGGAUUACAGGCGUGAGCCACCGUGCCUGGCCCUUGGCUACUUUUUAUAUUUUUAGUAGAGAUGGGGUUUCACCAUGUUGGCCAGUCUGGUCUCGAACUCCUGACCUCAGGUGAUCCGCCCUCCUCGGCCUCCCAAAGCACUGGGAUUACAAGCGUGAGCCACUGUGCCUGGCCCAAUCAUAGUUAUUUUAAAGCCCUUGUUUCCUAACUCCAAUAUGUGGCUUAUCUGUAAUCUGCUUCUUCUGUUAGCUUUCCGCAUGAUUAUUGAUCACUGUUUCCUGCUGUGUCCUGUAUCUCGUGCUUUCUGUCAGAGGUAUGCCUCAAAGGACCGUGGGGGUCCAUAUCUAGGGACCGUGGGGGGUCCAUAUGUCGGGACCGUGGGGGUGUCUAUAUCUCGGGACCGUGGGGGUCCAUAUCUAAGGACCGUGGGGGUCCAUAUCUUGGGACCAUGGGGGGUCUAUAUGUCAGGACCGUGGGGGUCUAUAUCUAAGGACCGUGGGGUUCUGUAUCUCAGGACCGUGGGGGUCCAUAUCUAGGGACCGUGGGGGUCCAUAUCUAGGGACCGUGGGGGGUCCAUAUGUCGGGACCGUGGGGGUGUCUAUAUCUCGGGACCGUGGGGGUCCAUAUCUAAGGACUGUGGGGGUCCAUAUCUUGGGACCAUGGGGGGUCUAUAUGUCAGGACCGUGGGGGUCUAUAUCUAAGGACCGUGGGGUUCUGUAUCUCAGGACCGUGGGGGUCUGUAUCUAGGGACCGUGGGGAUCUGUAUCUAGGGACCGUGCGGAUCUGUAUCUAGGGACUGUGGGAGUCUAUAUCUAAGGACCGUGGGGUCUAUAUCUAGGGACCGUGGGGGUCCAUAUCUCAGGACCGUGGGGAUCUGUAUCUCAGGACCGUGGGGGUCUGUAUCUCGGGACCGUGGGAGUCUAUAUCUAGGGACUGUGGGAGUCUAUAUCUAAGGACCGUGGCGUCCAUAUCUAGGGACCAUGGGGGUCCAUAUGUCGGGACCGUGGGGGGUCUAUAUCUCGGGACCGUGGGGGUCCAUAUCUAAGGACCAUAUGUCGGGACCGUGGGGUUCUGUAUCUCAGGACCGUGGGGGUCUGUAUCUAGGGACCGUAGGGAUCUGUGUCUAGGGACCGUGGGGGUCUAUAUCUAGGGACUGUGGGAGUCUAUAUCUAAGGACUGUGGCGGUCUGUAUCUCGGGACCGUGGGGGUCUAUAUCUCAGGACCGUGGGGCUCCAUAUCUCAGGACCAUGGGGGUCUGUAUCUAAGGACCGUGGAGGUCUAUAUCUCGGGACCGUGGGGGUCUCCAUCUAAGGACUGUGGGGGUCUAGCUGCUCUCUUCCAACAGUGAGCACGUGGCCUCCCUCUCUAGUGCAGACAGGGAGAGGAGCUGAACAUUUCGUCUACCCGCUCAGUUAGGGAUUGGGCCACUUCAGUCAAUCGUCCCUCUGUGUGGCUUUCCUGGAGUUUUGGUUAAGAGCCUGGCCAGUCCGUGUCUUCUUAUCCCUGACAGGCUGUCAGAGAGUCACUUCUUUCCCUGAGGUACAGGCUUAGCUCUUUAGUUGUCUGCUCAGGCAGCUUCAAAAUUUGGAAAAUGUCUUAAGGGCCAGAUUAACCUGUGCCUGGGGCAGGACCCCUUCCUCUAGAAAAGCUCUGUGUACUAAGCUCCACAAGGCUAUGCGAGACUUCAGCGCACCUGCGGAGGCCUCAGGCCUCACUUCUUAGCCUCCCCAGAAAUUUGCAAAUGUCCCAGUUUUCUGCUCCAGCCCCUGUGGUUGCCAAGAGCCCUGCUGGGUAUUUCUCCCAGUAGAAUUCCUCUUCCCCAGUGGGACCGAGGCUCAGCUCAUACCCAGCACUGGUUAAUUCCUUAAAGGGAGAGAAGCCGACAUUCAGCUCAUCUUGGAAGGGCUCUCUCUGAAUGUUUUCAUCUGGUUCUUGUUGCUUCUACAGUUCUCCAAUGUCUUUUUUAUAGAUACAUUUUUCCGGUAUUUCAAAAUUGUGGGCCGGAUGCAGUGGCUGACGCCUAUAAUCCCAGCACUUUGGGAGGGUGAGGCAGGUAGAUCACUUGAGGUCAGGAGUUUGAGACCAGCCUGGCCAACAUGGUGAAACCCCAUCUCUACUAAAAAUACAAACAAAACAAAAUUAGCUGGGCAUGGUGGCUCAUGCCUGUAGUCCCAGAAACUCAGGAGGCUGAGGCAGGAGAAUAGCUUGAACCCAGGAGGCAGAGGUUGCAGUGAGUGGAGAUCACACUACUGCACUCCAGCCUGGGCAACAGAGUGAGACUCCAUCUCAGAAAAAAAAAAUUGUGGUAAGAUACAUACGGUAGGAUUUCCUGAAGUUAUUUAUUUAUUUAUUUAUUUAUUUAUUUAUUUAUUUAUUUUACCAUCUGAGUUCUGUAAUUAAUGUGGCCUUCUCUGGUUGCUGCAAUGGGAUUGCUGACCUUCCAUAUACAUCCCCUCUGGAAUGUCAUAUUUGCAUUCUUCUGGCUUUUUUUGUUUGUUUUUUGUUUUUUUUGAGACGGAAUCUUGCUCUGUAGCCCAGGCUGGAGUGCAGUGGCGCGAUCUCGGCUCACUGCAGCCUCCGCCUCCCGGGUUCACACCAUUCUCCUGCCUCAGUCUCCUGAGUAGCUGGGACUACAGGCGCCUGCCACCAUGCCCGGCUAAAUUUUUGUAUUUUUAGUAGAGAGGGGGGUUUCACCGUGUUAGCCAGGAUGGUCUCAAUCUCCUGACCUGGUGAUCCGCCCCCCUCGGCCUCCCAAAGUGCUGGGAUUACAGGCAUGAGCCACCGCACCUGGCCGCCGGCAUCUUUAAUUCAGACUGCCAGCUUCCAGAACCCUGAGAAAUACACUUCUGUUGUACAUGCCAGUCCAUGGUGUUCUGUUACAUCAGCCCAAAGAGAAUAAGACCGCGUGGUAACAGGCCAUGAUGACCCCCUAGUGAUUGCUUUUGCCUGAUCAAGGCAAGGCACCCCCGCCCUGAGCCAGAUGCUGAGAGGGUGUGGUAGAGGCUGCACGGCAAGGGGCUGAGCCAGGUGGCUGCUGGUGCUCCUGCCUCUGACCGCCACCAUGUAUCCAGGAUCCCUGCUGGCCAGGGCGCCCACCUGCCUGCUCCGGUUUGGUUCAGGGCCGGUGUGUGUGUGUGUGUGUGUGUGUGUGUGUGUGUGUGUGGUUCCCAGGGGACCCAGUGUAGCCACAGAUGCCCCCCACCUGCCUCGAGAGGGAAAUAAACAUAAAUAUACCAAGACAGCUAUGGGGUGCUGGGGUGAGCGGUUUAUUGGAUGUUUAAAGGACAGAGAUCUGAACUCCUAGUGACUGCAGAGUGAGCAAGCACCCUGGGCUGUCCUGCAGGGCUGUCCGUGCUGGAUGUGGUGCCAGCAGGCAGGGCUUGCGGAUAGGCAUUUGCUGCAGGUGGCUGGGGCGGUGGGGGGCUGGUCUCCAGAUGCCUGGAAGGGAGGCCUUGAAAGUCAUUCUUCUUGGAUGCAUGGGCCCAUGGCAUUUCUUGGUAGAAGGUCAAAGAGAAGUGUUCAUGCUUGGCAAGGCAGGAGGGUGGGAGAUAGGGUAGUGGGUGGGGAAGGAGAGUCUGGCUCACUGGGUGCCAGGAAAAGGAGGUAAAGGCUGGGCAGGAAUGCCUGGCCAUGGUAAGAGUCCUGCAAAGCCAGAAAUCAGAUCUUGCACUGGCAGCACACGGGGACACAGCAACUGGACUGGGAGCAGCAGGGCUUGCAGCAGCUGGAUUGGCAACAGGAUGACCCACAGCCUGAGGAACAGCAGCAGGGCUUACAGCAACUGCACUGGGAGCAGGAUGACCCGCAGCCUCCCUUAGACCCCGCGCAAGAGCCACAACUGGAACAGGAACAGCAACACACGGGCACACCGCAGCCGGAGCCACAGCCCCCACAGCCGGAGCCACAACCCCCCUUGGAUCCCCCACAAGAACCGCAGCCCCCCUUGCAGCCUCCACAGGAGCCACAGCCCCCCUUGGAGCCCCCACAAGAACCACAGGCCCCCUUGGAGCACCCACAGGAGCCACAGCCCCCUUUGCCACAGCUGGAGCAGGAACAAGCUGGCACACAGCAGCACAUGGGCUUGCAGCAGCAGACAGGCACACAGCAGCUGGAGCCACAUCCCCCACAGCCGGAACCACAGCCACCCUUGGAUCCCCCACAAGAGCCACAGCCCCCCUUGGAGCCCCCACAGGAGCCACAACCCCCCUUGGAUCCCCCACAAGAGCCACAGCCCCCCUUGCAGCCUCCACAGGAGCCACAGCCCCCCUUGGAGCCCCCAGAAGAGCCACAGCCCCCUUUGCCACAGCUGGAGCAGGAACAGGUUGGCACACGGCAGCACACGGGCUUGCAGCAGCAGACGGGCACACAGCAGCUGGAGCCAGAACCUCCACAGCCAGAGCCACAGCCCCCACAGCCGGAGCCACAGCCCCCACAGCCGGAGCCACAGCCCCCACAGCUGGAGCCACAGCCUCCGGAGCAGCCGCAACAGCCCAUGGUUCUGGUGGAUUGAGGGUGGAGCAGGUAGAGGAGCAGGUGAGAGGGAGGUGCAGGUGUGGAGCUCCCUGAGCCUGGACCCUUUAUAUCCCUGCCCAGGGUCAUGUGUGAGGCUGGGCACACAUUUCCUGGUUCCUGUUUGUGCCAUUUUUAGGGCCCCUUUUUCUUGUUUCCUCUAGAAAUCCGCCCCUUGGUGUAUGGGCUGCUCAGUGGGCUGCUGCUCUCUUGCUGAAUCUGUGUCCAGACUUAAUGGAGGCCCCCAAGGGUCUAGCCUCUCCCUGUUGACUCCAGAGUCACACUGGAUUUACAAAAGCAUCUAUUUUAGGCUGGGCAUGGUGGCUCACACCUGUAAUCUCAGCACUUUGGGAGGCCUAGGCAGGUGGAUCACUUGAGGUGAGGGGUUGGAGACCAGCCUGGCCAAAAUGGUGAAAUCUCGUGUCUACUAAAAACACAAAAAUUAACUGGGUGUGGUGGCUCACAUCUGUAAUCCCAGCACUUUGGGAGGCCGAGGCAGGUGGAUCAUUUGAGGUCAGGAGUUGGAGACCAGCCUGCCCAACAUGGCAAAACCCCAUCUCUACUAAAAAUACAAAAAUUAGCCAGGCAUGGUGGUGCAUGCUUGUAACUCCAGCUACUUGGGAGGCUGAGGCAGGAGAAUGGCUUGAACCCAGAGGUGAAGGUUGCAGUGAGCAGAGAUCACACCACUGCACUCUAGUGUGGGCAACAGAGCGGGACUCUGUCUCAAAAAAAAAAAAAAAGUGAUCUAUUUUAGUUGAACGAUGGUAUAAAGAGUAAUAUAUUUAAAAAAUGUAAAAAAAAACCCUACUCAACUUGGGAAAAAAUGGCAUAAAUAAAUGAAGUCUCUGUU
RNAcentral lists this long non-coding RNA (13627 nucleotides) under Homo sapiens (human). Its description in RNAcentral is "HSALNT0360973". The record is from RNAcentral. Lineage: Eukaryota; Metazoa; Chordata; Mammalia; Primates; Hominidae.